This 400-nucleotide ribosomal RNA is filed under the name uncultured bacterium. RNAcentral's name for it is "bacterial SSU rRNA". It matches the Rfam family "Bacterial small subunit ribosomal RNA", at positions 358 to 773 of the family's 1533-position model. The record is from RNAcentral.
GGAAUUUUGCGCAAUGGGCGAAAGCCUGACGCAGCAACGCCGCGUGGGGGAUGAAGGCCUUCGGGUUGUAACCCCCUUUUGCGAGGGAAGAAGAUCUGACGGUACCUCGCGAAUAAGCCACGGCUAACUACGUGCAAGCAGCCGCUGUAAUACGUAGGUGGCAAGCGUUGUCCGGAUUUACUGAGCGUAAAGCGCUCGAAGGCGGACGGGUUAGUCCGGGGUGAAAUCUCACGGCUCAACCGGGAGCGGUCCCCGGAUACUGCCGGUCUUGAGGUGUCUAGAGGAGAGCGGAAUUCCCGGUGUAGUGGUGGAAUGCGUAGAUAUCGGGAAGAACACCAGUGGCGAAAGCGGCUCUCUGGGGACCACCUGACGCUGAGGCGCGAAAGCGUGGGGAGCGAAC